RNAcentral lists this ribosomal RNA (246 nucleotides) under uncultured bacterium. Its description in RNAcentral is "partial 16S ribosomal RNA". It matches the Rfam family "Bacterial small subunit ribosomal RNA", at positions 107 to 334 of the family's 1533-position model. The record is from RNAcentral.
CGAGUAACGCGUAAGCAACCUGCCCCGGAAGCGGGGGGAUAAGCCGGAGAAAUCCGGGGUAAUACCGCAUAGCUUGGAGGGGGACAUCCCCGUUCAAGAAAGGAGAGCCAUUCGAGAGGAUGCUCUUCACUUUCGGAGGGGCUUGCGGCCUGUCAGCUAGUUGGGGGGGUGACGGCCUCCCAAGGCGACGACGGGUAGCUGGUCUGAGAGGACGGCCAGCCGGACUGGGACUGAGACACGGCCCAG